AUACGGAGGGUGCAAGCGUUAAUCGGAAUUACUGGGCGUAAAGCGUACGUAGGCGGUUCGUUAAGUUAGAUGUGAAAGCCCCGGGCUUAACCUGGGAACUGCAUUUAAAACUGGCGAACUAGAGUUGAGUAGAGGGGAGUGGAAUUUCAGGUGUAGCGGUGAAAUGCGUAGAGAUCUGAAGGAACACCAGUGGCGAAGGCGACUCCCUGGACUCAAACUGACGCUGAGGUACGAAAGCGUGGGUAGCAAACGGGAUUAGAAACCCGAGUAGUCC
Molecule: ribosomal RNA, 274 nt
Filed under: uncultured bacterium
Lineage: Bacteria
Description: partial 16S ribosomal RNA
Rfam family: Bacterial small subunit ribosomal RNA
Source: RNAcentral